AAUCCGGAUGUCAUUGGUUGGAUCCACCAUCAUCGAAUCACUCUCCUGGGGAAACAAAUUAUUAAGUGCUUAGAGAUACAGCUUUUUGCAUAAGAAUGACUAGUUAUUUCUGUGUGUCAAGGGGAAUCCUAGCAGAAUAAAAACGGAUGGUUUACAAUGUAAAUCCUGAAAGUUAAGUGGUGUCCUAUGUAAGACCAGAUGACACAAACCUGAUAAUGCAUCUCUUGAAGCGUUUGGGGUGAGCCCCGAGGCCUGGGUGCAGGAGUGGUUUACUGAGUGGCAAUCAUCAGCAAUGCCAUCUGGGGCAUUGGAGAAGACCCAUGCUGAGAGGACCUGCGAGAGAGCCAGUGGGUCUCAUCCAAGGCUGGUCUCAAACUCCUGGCCUCAAGUCAUCCUCCUACCUCAGCCUCCCAAGUAGCUGGGACUACAGGCUUGCACUAUUGCACCUGACAGAAUUCCAUCUUUGGAGAAGUUAUAGACACCUAUAAACAUGAUAAUUGGCCUACAAUUCCAAGCUGUCAAGAUAACUAGAGAUUAAAUGUUCAUCCUUCCAGGUUACUAUCUUUUUAUGUACAUUUGGUCACAUAGAGGUGGAGAACUACAUACAGUAUAGCAAAUUAUUCAUCUGGCAGAUGGGUAAAGUGGAAAGAAUGAAAUUAAAUUACAUUAACUUGUUGACCGUGUGAAUUCUG
RNAcentral lists this long non-coding RNA (692 nucleotides) under Homo sapiens (human). RNAcentral's name for it is "HSALNT0381200". The record is from RNAcentral. Lineage: Eukaryota; Metazoa; Chordata; Mammalia; Primates; Hominidae.